Equus asinus (donkey) is the source of this 2285-nucleotide long non-coding RNA. Lineage: Eukaryota; Metazoa; Chordata; Mammalia; Perissodactyla; Equidae. The record is from Ensembl.
CUUUUAUGUUGUUGACCUAUUUGCCUCCCUCUUAUAAGGAACCUUGUGAUUACAUUUGCCCAUCCAGAUAGUCCAGGAUAAUCUCCCAUCUCAAGAUCCUUAACUUCAUCGUGUCUACAAAAUCCUUUUCACCAUCUGCCUUCGGGGAUCAUCUUGUCAGUUAUGCAGCUUUCCAAUUUUACGGCUGAGAUCAAGAAUGAUUCCUUAAAGGCACAUGGGAAACACAAUGUGUCUUAGAAUGAAAUGUGGGAAAGUGGACGUGAAUUUGCUACAUGGCCAAUACUGUAGGGCUUUUCGCUGAGAUGGAGGUAGCUCUGUGCGGCAGUCCCGGAAGACUUUCACAAGAAGAGUUCAGACAGUAGAAAAUAAUCCUAAAUGAUUGUGCCAUGGGCUUCCAUUGAAAGACCCAUGGUCUGCUGCAAGCUCUUGGCCAGAAGAACCCGCCGUCAUCUUAUUGCUGUGUGGCUCCUGCCGUGUCGGAAAGGGCUGACGGGUCCUGGGGAACAUGCCUGGCAGUCUACUGCAGAGCAAUGGUGAAAAUAUGAAUCACUCCAUCUCCAGCACAACGUCUGGGAAGAAAGAAGGGGAAAAUGACUCACAGCCUGUUUGGAAUAUCAGGGGCCCAUAAGUGAGAAAUGAGGAGGGUCAGCACAGCAAAGUGUAUGUUUCUCACCGGGUGAAGGAUUUCCACGUAACAGGACUCACGGAAUGCAAAUGAAACUUGUACCUUAGAGAAGGGAACUUCUUUCUACUCCCCUAAACCUCUCAGUCGAAAACUUCAUUCUUCCAUUAAAAAAGAAUUGUGUUUUGUGAUUUAUAAAGUCUACUGCUUUUUCUUCAAGUUGAAUGUUAACGUUCUGCCUUGUGCCCUUAACUUAAUGGAUGUUCUCAAAACUGGCAGCUUUUCUUUCAUGCGGGAAGAAGGAAUAAUUCUGAAUUAAGAGCACUAAAAUAGGUUAAGGAUACAUUAUGUCAGAGGCUGUAGAUUGUUAACAAGCAAAGGAAGCACAAGUCAUAGGAUAUAAUACAAUUAAAGGCAACUGGGUAAGAUUGCCAGCCGUUCCAUCCCAAUGACUUCACCUGUUGAUGCCAGAGGUGACCCUUUCCAGUCUGUCUAAAAUUUGACAGGGUCCAAGGUGCUUUUCUAAUUUCUGAGUGAAUCACAAUUAGUGAGUAUAGUAGGUGCUGCGGGUGCCCCUCCUAUAUCUCAUUACCAGGCCCAUUUGCCCUUCUCCAGCUGUUGUGAGUUUUGGCUGCUAAUGAGCUACAGCUGCGCCCCCUCCAGAAAAUUGCUGAUGGCAGCUGUAUCUCCCAAGAGGUUAUGAUCCUCCAAUUAGGGGCAGCCAAUGAUUGAUGGAUAUGGGGCUACAAAUGGCUGGUCCCUUGCAUCAAAGGAGAGGUUCAUAAUUAAUUUUGUGGGAUGAUCCCAUGGAUCAGGUCAAGACUAGCCUUUAUAUGGGACCACAUCCUUGCUCAGCCCUUUCCUCUUCUGUCUCCUGCUUGUCAUACCCUCCCAUGAAGAGCUUUGCCUGAAGAGCACCCCUUCAAUAAACUUCAUGCACCAGAACUACUAUCUCAGGCUUGAUUCUAGGGUGUCCAGACCUACCACAGUCUGUUCUAUGGACCCUUCAUGAGCCAUUGUAACAGAAGAAGAAAAGUCCCUUCAGCUUAGUAGUGUUCUCUGUGCAGCCUUUAUGCAUCAGCCUACAUGGAAUAAGCAUGGUUGGCAAAGGAUCAAAGCCACAAAGCUGGUCCUGACCUAAUCAUGGGAGCCCUUUAAAGGCAGAGAGUUUUCUUUGGCUGCGUAGAGGUGGAGGAGGAGAACGGGGAAGAAGAGGAGGAGGAGGAGAUUGGAUGUGCCACUGCUGGCUUGAAGAUGAAGGGACUACAUGGGCAUGCUGGGACUGCAGGAGGGGGAGCAUGUCUGUCUGCUUUGUUCCUGUCUACCCAGUGAACCCAGUACCUCUCGCAGCUUUUGGCAUACAUUGCAGGUCCUUCUAGUUGUGGGAUGUGGGACGCCGCCUCAAUGUGGCCUGACGAGCGGUGCCAUGUCCUCGCCCAGGACCCGAACCCUGGGCCGCCACAGCAGAGCGCACAAACUUAACCACUCGGCCACGGAGCUGGCCCCCGAAAAUCCAAUCCUGUUACUAGCUUUCUAUUCUUGUGUCUGUGCCUCAGGCGAGGGAAGGAGAACCCAAGACCCUUCAUCUCUGUAGACCAGGAGGCUUGAGACUGAUGAUCUGUGCUUAGGCUGCACCCAGGGAGCAGACAGUUAUGAUCAGCUU